This 253-nucleotide ribosomal RNA is filed under the name uncultured bacterium. RNAcentral's name for it is "partial 16S ribosomal RNA". It matches the Rfam family "Bacterial small subunit ribosomal RNA", at positions 524 to 776 of the family's 1533-position model. The record is from RNAcentral.
GACGGAAGGUGCAAGCGUUGCUCGGAAUCACUGGGCGUAAAGGGUGCGUAGGCGGCUUGGUAGGUCUGGUGUGAAAGCCCCGGGCUCAGCCCGGGAAGGGCACUAGAAACUGCCAAGCUAGAGUGCCGGAGGGGAGAGUGGAAUUCCUGGUGUAGCGGUGAAAUGCGCAGAUAUCAGGAAGAACACCGGUGGCGAAGGCGGCGUCCUGGACCAACACUGACACUGAUGAGCGAAAGCCAGGGGAGCGAACAGG